GAUGAACGCUGGCGGCGUGCCUAAUACAUGCAAGUCGAGCGAACAGACGAGGAGCUUGCUCCUCUGACGUUAGCGGCGGACGGGUGAGUAACACGUGGAUAACCUACCUAUAAGACUGGGAUAACUUCGGGAAACCGGAGCUAAUACCGGAUAAUAUAUUGAACCGCAUGGUUCAAUAGUGAAAGACGGUUUUGCUGUCACUUAUAGAUGGAUCCGCGCCGCAUUAGCUAGUUGGUAAGGUAACGGCUUACCAAGGCAACGAUGCGUAGCCGACCUGAGAGGGUGAUCGCCCACACUGGAACGGAGACACGGUCCAGACUCCUACGGGAGGCAGCAGUAGGGAAUCUUCCGCAAUGGGCGAAAGCCUGACGGAGCAACGCCGCGUGAGUGAUGAAGGUCUUCGGAUCGUAAAACUCUGUUAUUAGGGAAGAACAAAUGUGUAAGUAACUAUGCACGUCUUGACGGUACCUAAUCAGAAAGCCACGGCUAACUACGUG
Molecule: ribosomal RNA, 497 nt
Filed under: uncultured bacterium
Lineage: Bacteria
Description: partial 16S ribosomal RNA
Rfam family: Bacterial small subunit ribosomal RNA
Source: RNAcentral